Long non-coding RNA from Oxyura jamaicensis (ruddy duck), 3285 nucleotides. RefSeq lists it as uncharacterized. Lineage: Eukaryota; Metazoa; Chordata; Aves; Anseriformes; Anatidae. The record is from RefSeq and is a predicted model, not a curated record. The transcript is spliced from 3 exons.
UUCAAGUUGUUAAGGAAGAGGGGUGGUUUUCCCCCUUGUGUUUUGGACACCAGAGCACUUUCUGUUCCAAGAUCGAGCAGCUCUCAGUGGGCCAGGGAACACUGCAGGCCAGCGCAGCAGCGGAGAUGGCUAAACAACAGACGGGAUGAGCCCGUCAGCCAGGAAGCAUCACAGGCUCCGUUCUUCAGGUAUUAAAAAAAGCUGCCUUGAAUAUAGACUUGGAGGACUGCGACAGACGACGGAGCAGCACAUCUUCCACAGACCAUCUGCCUGCUCCCACUGGGGACGGAGGUGGCGGCGAGAAGCGGUGCCUCGUGCUCUGGCAGGCAGGAGCUCGGGGCAGAGCUCGCUCUGCGCCCCGCGGCCGGGACGGUGGCGAUGGGUGCCUGCGUCCCUCCUGCUGCCGCCCCCGGCUGCGGGGCCGUGAGGGGCAGGCGGCGCGGGGACAGAGCUGGAUUGUGCUGGGCAUGAAUCGCCCCAUUCUUGUGCGUCUCCAGCAGAUGCCGGCAGCCUGGCAGAGGGCAUCUCCCUCCUGCUUUAAUAGAUCUGCGCUUGCCGGUGCGCCCAGAUAGAUUGCAGUGUCUCCUGCCUGGUUCCCAGCCCCGUAGCUCCAAGCCUCCUCUAACCCCAGAGGCGCGCUGAGCCUGGAGCUGUGAUUUCAGGGUCCAGGCUGGCACAGCUGCACUUGCACAGCCUCGGCAGCGUGCACAGCCUCACACUUGCUUGGACUUUUUGGGGUGUUGAGGAUGAGGUGGGGUAUCCUCCCCCAGGGAGCAGCAAAGCUUUGGUUUGAGGGCACAAGGCACAGCUGCGUAGGAUGGGGAGGUGUUGGUGGGGACGGCUGGGCAGCAGCUGCGGUGCCAGAUCUGUCCCCCUGCCAUCCUCCAGCCCACACAUCUGCGGGGCAAGGAAAAGUCUGGUUAUUUACAGCCUCAGCCUGGGCAUUUUCUAAACCCCUUUACUGAUGUGAUUUCCUCUGGACCUUUGACCAGCUUUGAACUGGGUGAUACAGAGCACAUUACAAAUUCACUUUUCCAACAGCCAGCAUUUUAUAUUUUUUUGCCUUUCUCCUUUAAAUUACUCAGCACUGAUCAUGCUGAAUUAAUCUAACUGGUAAUUUAUCCUUUCUGCGCUUUGUAAAUUAAAUAUUAGGGCAGGGUGCAGUCAUUAGCAAUGACUAACUACCCAGCAAACACUUGUGGCAUUCUGCUAACCCAGCAAAUCCGUUUCCAAAAACGUGUAUUUUCUAGUGGGAGAGAAGCAUUGCACGGUGCUCCCAAAUGAUGGUUCAUGUUUUAUUACGACAAGCUGGCUUUAAAACACAUCAUCUGCUUGAGGCAAUCGCUGCUCCCUCGGGUUGCUUCGGAUGGGUGCUGCCGCUCCCCCCCCUGCUGCUCCCCAGUGGUGUCCGGGUGCGGAUGCUUGGGGCAGACCUUGCUUUUGGGUGGCCCCACGGGGCUCCCCAUCAGGAGACGCAAGCGGGAAGCACGAGCAGCCCCGCUGCCCUGCGGCGUGCUCAGCGGGUGCCCGAGGCUCCAUGGACACGGGUGGGAUGAAGGUCCUCCUCCUUGCAGGAGAUACACCUUGGUUGUGCUAACGUCGUGCUGCCAGACCAGAAUAUUCCCAGGAAAGGCAUGAGACGAUGGGACGAGAGCUCCAGAUGAGCCCCUGAGGUCCUGCUGCACGGUGCUGGCGGUCCCCAGCACUUCAUGGAGCCGUGCAUCCGCUCGUGGCUUUCCCAGCACAGCUGUGCUCGUGCCACUCAUGUCCCAUUCCUGCUGGAAAUAUGAGGGCCCUUGUGACCCCUGUCCCCCCCAGCGCAUCCUUCACCUCCUGCCACUGCCUGGCCAAAACGUCUGUGCUGGCUGCAAGGGACAAGGCAGCUUUUUCAACUCCUCCAACAUUUUGCAGUGACCUGGCUUCCCUUGGGGGCACAUCAUGCCACUGUCCUGCCCCUUGGCACAGGUGGGCUUGCCAGGAACUGGCAAGGGCUGCGAAGCGAUGGAGAAAGCCUGGAGCUCAGCAUCAGCACAGCUUUUCUCCCAGCCUCAGUGAAGCCUCAUGCAUGUCAAGAUCUCAGUUCAAGAGCACAGUAGCCGAAUGGGACCACGUUGCCUGUGCCAAAAUCAGAGGCUGCUGCUAUUUCUCCUCCCAGGACAAGGCAGUGCCUGCAGACAGAGGCCAGCACGCCGAGACGGGCCCACAGCCACCAGCAUCGGGGGGAUGGAGCUGGGGACCAGCAGGCUCGAGACUAUCCUGGGAAGCAAAGCUUUGCAGCCGUGAUGCUCUUUUAAUAUUCUGUCUUGGGGGCAUGGUAAAAAUAGACAUUUGGGAUGCAUUAUUAUUGCUGGAGUUUUAUUGAACGCUGUUUAUUGUUUUCAGAUGCAAUAAACCUAGCAGGGGAACCCAAGAGACUGAUGGAUCUAAAUAUUCUUCAAGCAAGCCCCAGCUCCCCCGCUGAGCUGCGGCCCCAAUAAUUACCCCCGGAUCAGCUGCAAGCCGAUGGUAAUUAAGGCACAAUUACGGAUGGCUUGGCUGUUACCACUGGCAAAAGCCUCCCUGGGUGAAUCCACCUUGUUGGAUCGAUUCUCACCACGAAGGUAACCCCAUUGCCACAUAUGCCGAGACACACGGCACGCGGGGAGUAAGUGGCUUAGGGGAUAAUGCACACAUCCUACCAGAAGUUACCUGGGUGCUGCUGGGCUCGGUGGAAGCAAGCACUGCUGGUGAUAAUCAGCAGGGAACCAAGGCAGCCGUGGUGGCUGCAGCCAUUUGGCGGUCACAUCUUUGUGGUCUCUUAAUUCAUUCCCCUGCUGUUCCAUUUUCCAAAACUAUAUAUAUAUAUUUUUUUCUUUAGAGCUUUGCCAUUGGUGUUGGCUGUUUUCUGAGAGAGCAGAGAACGAGGUAAGGCGGCUCUUCAAAUAUUGAUGCUGUUUGUCAGUUAGCCCUGGCAACGUCAGUGCCGUCAGCUCAGCGGGUAUUUUAUCAGUGAGCGUGGUUGGCCCUGGACACAUUGGUCUUCGGAUGGAGACAGUGCCCUCCAGGCUUUGGCCUCUUUCUGGCCCUCGCGAUAAAGAGGAAUAAACGUGUCUGGGCUGCACCCUGCCUCCAGCAGGAGCUGCCUGCUGGCAGCCUGUGCUCCGGAGCCAACAGUUCAGGUUAUCUGUUUGGAAGUUAGCAUUAAUAUUGCUGAUUGUCUCAGGGCCUGGCAAAAACAGCCACUGCUGAGCUCGGCGUGCUGCUGGGAACGGGACAAGGCAGGGAUGGACGGACGGAUCCCAGCGG